RNAcentral lists this ribosomal RNA (196 nucleotides) under uncultured Gammaproteobacteria bacterium. Its description in RNAcentral is "partial 16S ribosomal RNA". It matches the Rfam family "Bacterial small subunit ribosomal RNA", at positions 337 to 524 of the family's 1533-position model. The record is from RNAcentral. Lineage: Bacteria; Pseudomonadati; Pseudomonadota; Gammaproteobacteria.
GCCUACGGGAGGCAGCAGUGGGGAAUAUUGGACAAUGGGCGCAAGCCUGAUCCAGCCAUGCCGCGUGUGUGAAGAAGGCCUUAUGGUUGUAAAGCACUUUAAGCGAGGAGGAGGCUACUUUAGAUAAUACCUAGAGAUAGUGGACGUUACUCGCAGAAUAAGCACCGGCUAACUCUGUGCCAGCAGCCGCGGUAAU